This 467-nucleotide ribosomal RNA is filed under the name uncultured bacterium. Its description in RNAcentral is "partial 16S ribosomal RNA". It matches the Rfam family "Bacterial small subunit ribosomal RNA", at positions 28 to 506 of the family's 1533-position model. The record is from RNAcentral.
GACGAACGCUGGCGGCGUGCUUAACACAUGCAAGUCGAACGGAAAGGCCCUGCUUUUGUGGGGUGCUCGAGUGGCGAACGGGUGAGUAACACGUGAGUAACCUGCCCUUGACUUUGGGAUAACUUCAGGAAACUGGGGCUAAUACCGGAUAGGAGCUCCUGCUGCAUGGUGGGGGUUGGAAAGUUUCGGCGGUUGGGGAUGGACUCGCGGCUUAUCAGCUUGUUGGUGGGGUAGUGGCUUACCAAGGCUUUGACGGGUAGCCGGCCUGAGAGGGUGACCGGCCACAUUGGGACUGAGAUACGGCCCAGACUCCUACGGGAGGCAGCAGUGGGGAAUAUUGCACAAUGGGCGGAAGCCUGAUGCAGCAACGCCGCGUGCGGGAUGACGGCCUUCGGGUUGCAAACCGCUUUCGCCUGUGACGAAGCGUGAGUGACGGUAAUGGGGAAAGAAGCACCGGCUAACUACGU